RNAcentral lists this ribosomal RNA (610 nucleotides) under uncultured marine bacterium. Its description in RNAcentral is "bacterial SSU rRNA". It matches the Rfam family "Bacterial small subunit ribosomal RNA", at positions 150 to 794 of the family's 1533-position model. The record is from RNAcentral.
CUGGAACGGUGGCUAAUACCUCAUAUAACUGAGAAGUGAAAGAUGAACAAUCACCAAAGACGGGSUUGCGUCGAUUAGCUAGUUGGUAAGGUAAUGGCUUACCAAGGCGACGAUCAGUAGCUGUUCUGAGAGGAUGAUCASCCACACUGGGACUGAGACACGGCCCAGACUCCUASGGGAGGCAGCAGUGAGGAAUUUUCCGCAAUGGGCGAAAGCCUGACGGAGCAAUACCGCGUGAAGGAUGACGGCCUAUGGGUUGUAAACUUCUUUUCUCAGAGAAGAAUUUUGACGGUAUCUGAGGAAUAAGCAUCGGCUAACUCUGUGCCAGCAGCCGCGGUAAGACAGAGGAUGCAAGCGUUAUCCGGAUUAAUUGGGCGUAAAGCGUCUGUAGGUGGUUUAUCAAGUCUUUUGUCAAAGAUCAGGGCCUAACCCUGGGCAGGCAGAAGAAACUAAUAAACUUGAGUUCGGUAGGGGCAGAGGGAAUUCCCGGUGGAGCGGUGAAAUGCGUAGAGAUCGGGAGGAACACCAAAGGCGAAGGCACUCUGCUGGGCCGUAACUGACACUGAGAGACAAAGCGAGGGUAGCAAUGGGAUUAGAUACCCCCAGGCAU